Molecule: long non-coding RNA, 388 nt
Filed under: Pan troglodytes (chimpanzee)
Lineage: Eukaryota; Metazoa; Chordata; Mammalia; Primates; Hominidae
Description: long non-coding RNA NONPTRT012298
Source: RNAcentral
UGGGAAGCCAGUGCCAGUGGUGGGUUUGAGCAGGGAACCAGCAACCAGUGGUGGGUUUGAGCAGGGAACCAGCAAUACUCAAGCUCUGCUAGGAUGGAGGCCAGUCAGGGAGGAGUUAGGGCAGGAGGACCGGUCAGGGAGGAGACUUAGGGCAGGAGGACCGGUCAGGGAGGAGACUCAGGGCAGGAGGACAGGUCAGGGAGGAGACUCAGGGCAGGAGGACAGGUCAGGGAGGAGACUUAGGGCAGGAGGACCAGUCAGGGAGGAGUUAGGGCUAGAGGACUGGUCAGGGAGGAGUUAGGGCAGGGGGACCGGUCAGGGAGGAGUUAGGGCAGGAGGACAGGUCAGGGAGGAGUUAGGGCAGGGGGACUGGUCAGGGAGGAGUUAG